Non-coding RNA from Camellia sinensis, 2589 nucleotides. The record is from RefSeq and is a predicted model, not a curated record. NCBI's taxonomy places the organism in Eukaryota, Viridiplantae, Streptophyta, Magnoliopsida, Ericales, Theaceae.
GGCGAGGCGUGACCAGGGCACCAUAAAUACUCGUUCACACGAGCGAGUCGACACAAUCCCUACUUCAGAUCAGAGAAACCAAUACUCCAUAACCAUAGUCCAAAACCAAAGCUAAAGCCAUGUGGAGAAGACUCUCUACACAGCUCCACCGCUUCUUCGCCGCCGCCGCCAACAUCUCUUCUCCCUGGCGGUCUCCGUCGCCGUUUCGGCCAUCCACCAUACUCUAUUCUCGCUCCGUCGCUUCCAAUUACGGUACAAAGGCAGCUGGAUCCUUUAACCACCAUGGGAUACAAUACUCAACUACUGUUCCAAAUGAUCCGGACAUACACAAGGACUUCAGACCCACUAAUAAGCUUGAGAGUUCUGGCCUUUCUUUGAAGGAUAUUGUAGAGCAGGAUGCCAAGGACAACCCAGUGAUGCUUUACAUGAAAGGGGUGCCUGAUCUUCCCCGAUGUGGAUUCAGCUCACUAUCUGUAAGAGUGUUGAAGGAAUAUAAUGUUCAUUUGAGUGCCAGAAACAUAUUGGAAGGUCCUGAGCUUAAGAAUGCUGCCAAAGCAUACAGUUGUGUUGAGGCAGAAAAUUCGUUCCAAGAAGCAUGAUAUUGGAAUCAGAGAGUAUAUCCAUUUUCGUUUAACAUACUGUGGCAGCAAUUCAAAGAAUUUCCUUAGGCGGCAUUUGAAUAGCAUUCAUUUCAAGUGGAUUUAGAAAUUACUUAAUUGAAUGAUCCUUAUCCAGCAGUGGCUAAGAAUACAUGGCCACAGCAGCAUAUGUUCAGAAGCCCGUUAAUUGAUCAAAUUUCCUUUAUUUUAACUUUCAAUAUUUAGGCUUUGUUUGGAAAUUGGUUAUUUUAGUUGGUUUUUUUGGCUUUUUACGAAACGACGUGUGAAAAAGUUGAGAGAGAUGUGAUUGGGUGAUUUGUUUUCAAAAGAUACAUGAAAUAUAAAUGGUUGAGAUUCAGGUAUAUGAAAUAUUUUUUUCAAAAGAUAGCUUAGCUUGAUAGACAUGGCCAAAUCUUGAAUGAAUUUUUUAGGAUGCUGUUUAUGUCAAAUAUCCACGAUGUUGCCUGUGAAUCAGUUACACAUGUUUUUGGGAUUAUUUGUGAAAAGUGCGCUCAAUUGUCAUAUUUUAGUGAUACAAAUUACUAUCAAGAAUUUGCAAAUGGAAUUGCUGUUUAAGCCAUGUACUGAUCAUUACCUACCUAGCAACCCAUUUGGUCCAAAGUCGAUAAAACAUGUAGUUUGUUUGUGCUUGUUUCAAUUAGUCGUGUGGUCUAUCCUUACAGCAACUGGCCCACAUUUCCACAAAUAUUUAUCAAGGGGGAGUUCAUCGGAGGAUCAGACAUCAUUCUCAACAUGCACCAGACUGGCGAGCUGAAGGAAAUGCUUAAAGAUACUGCCGCCAACUAGGAGAGGUCGGAGUAACUCAUGAUUAUUGGCUAUGUAUGGUUACGUAAGAGUUUGGAGUUGUCUUUGAUGUUUUAAUUUCUUUUGUGGUAAUAUAAGCACGUUAAAUUUAUGUCCUGUUAACAGACCCUGCUUUAGUGGGAAGUUCAAGCACUGAGUCACUCCUUUUUAAGCAUGUUAAACCAUAAAUAAUUGUUGAUUUAAUCCAACAAUGGUUCGCACAAGUAUGGAUUCAAAAAUUGUAUAUGUAUCACAUUACUCCAUGUAAAUUUACACUCAAAAUUAUAUAUAUUACUGCAGCCCACCUUUUAUUUUGGUGUAUAGUACAAUGAAACAACUCAAGCUGGUACAAUAUUUAGCACAAUACACACAGCACAACUAAAGGAAAUUAUCUUUCUGUCUCUCUUCAAAUCUAAUAACACAUGAUCACACUGCUGCUUCUUAUUUCUUCAAUUCAGAGGACUGCUAAAAUUCAUGACUGACAGAGGAAGAAUCUAUCUAUCCACUAGUCGUUGCAAUUUCAGGGGUACUGACAUGCUCAACAAUGGCCACAUGAUGAUAAUGUUCCUUGCCGUGACCUCCAGGUUUGCCAUGGCAAUGGUGCCUUUUGCCAGGACUGCCACCUCCGUGACCAUGAUGUCUCCCACCAUGAUCGUGACGUCCUCCAUGGUGACAACCACCACGGCCACCAUGUCCGCGAUAACCGUGACUAUGCUGAUGAAUAUGAUGUCCCCAGCCAUGACCGUGGUGUUGGUAAAUAAGAUGUCCCCAGCCGUGACCGUGAUGCCCUCCGACGUGACAAGCUGCACCUCCGUGAUGUCCACCGGGACUGUGGUGUCCUAAGUUGUGAACACCAUGAUAGAAUGGAUGAUGAUGUUCACCGCACCCAGACAUCUUUGUUGUUCAAGUGUUUGUCUAAAUCUCUGAAGAUUGCUUGGUGAAUGAAUAUUGUGUGAGGAGUGACAAUGCUGGGAGCUCAGAUAUUUAUAGGCAAAAUGGGCUGAGUGGUCGGUUAUGCUUUUACUUGGAGUGUACCUUUUUUUUCUUGGGGAGCAAGAGAACGGAGGAGAGAGACUUACAGAUAUGAACAUGUGACCUUUAUUCAUGUGUUUGUCAUAAGUUUAUUCGUGUUCUCCAAGAAAUAAUUAUGGGAUUGAAUGACGAUUGGGACUCUUCUCUCCUAACA